CCUACGGGGGGCAGCAGUGAGGAAUAUUGGUCAAUGGACGAGAGUCUGAACCAGCCAAGUAGCGUGAAGGAUGACUGCCCUAUGGGUUGUAAACUUCUUUUAUAUGGGAAUAAAACGUUCCACGUGUGGGAUUUUGUAUGUACCGUAUGAAUAAGGAUCGGCUAACUCCGUGCCAGCAGCCGCGGUAAUACGGAGGAUCCGAGCGUUAUCCGGAUUUAUUGGGUUUAAAGGGAGCGUAGGUGGAUUGUUAAGUCAGUUGUGAAAGUUUGCGGCUCAACCGUAAAAUUGCAGUUGAAACUGGCAGUCUUGAGUACAGUAGAGGUGGGCGGAAUUCGUGGUGUAGCGGUGAAAUGCUUAGAUAUCACGAAGAACUCCGAUUGCGAAGGCAGUUCACUGGACUGCAACUGACACUGAGGCUCGAAAGUGUGGGUAUCAAACAGGAUUAGAUACCCGAGUAGUC
This 460-nucleotide ribosomal RNA is filed under the name uncultured bacterium. Its description in RNAcentral is "partial 16S ribosomal RNA". It matches the Rfam family "Bacterial small subunit ribosomal RNA", at positions 338 to 795 of the family's 1533-position model. The record is from RNAcentral.